UUAAAAAAAAUUGGAAAAAACCCCGAAAUGCAACCAAAACCAAAUGAUCGAAAAAAACAAGAAAAGAUAAUAAUAAUGACCCGAAUCCGAGACACAAAAUGCUGAAAAACCCUUUCUCAAUCCACGUAGACAGCAGAAGCUUCCAAAAUCCACGUACACAACCCGUUGUUCUUAUCCAAACUACCCAUUAAAAGAUGAACACGUGUCCCAUGAGGGCCGGAGUGGGCCCCUUAUUUCUGCUUUUAUCUUUGGAAACCCCGUUGCGACUUGCUAUAUCAUCAAUCUUAUUCAAUAGCCCUCUGUUUCCCAAUCCCAUUUGUAGUACGCCCUUACCCAAAUCCAAUAGGCCCCUGGUUUCUUUACUACGCCGCUAUAUAUAAACUAUAAAGCACAAAUAACCAGCCAUACCUAGAACCAUAACCAUAAUCCUUUCUCACAACCAAAUCGAAAAUAUUCUUCUUUAUUUCUCACCAUUCAUCAGAAUCAUCACGUAAAUCUCUUUGUUUACUUUUUGAUUUCAAAAGAAUUUUAAAAUAUUGAUGAGCUUGAGGUACGCAAGCAGAGUUUUGUAUCAGGCAGGGAAUCGGGUGGUGCAGGGAAUGAAGGACCAGAUCUCAAGAUGUGAUUCAACGGUUAAGAUCUCUUUGAGAGAUUCUUCUUCAAAGCAGAGUAGGGUGUUCUCUGGAGGAGCAGCUGAUUCCACUUCUGCUUUCAAGGCUGCCAAAAACGACACACAUAAUUAUAAGCAGGCGGAGGAGUCUCUUCGGACCGUCAUGUAUUUGAGUUGCUGGGGUCCUAAUUGAAAGUUUUAUACCUAAUCAUGUUUGUAAAUACUUGGUGUACAUAUGUAUAAACCUUAACCCUCGAUCCUUGAUCGUCUCAACAUAUAAAUAUUAAUCAAGAUCUUUUCGCUCCA
Long non-coding RNA from Cannabis sativa, 916 nucleotides. RefSeq lists it as uncharacterized. Lineage: Eukaryota; Viridiplantae; Streptophyta; Magnoliopsida; Rosales; Cannabaceae. The transcript is spliced from 2 exons. The record is from RefSeq and is a predicted model, not a curated record.